Molecule: ribosomal RNA, 378 nt
Filed under: Eristicophis macmahoni (leaf-nosed viper)
Lineage: Eukaryota; Metazoa; Chordata; Lepidosauria; Squamata; Viperidae
Description: partial 12S ribosomal RNA
Rfam family: Bacterial small subunit ribosomal RNA
Source: RNAcentral
UUGUUCGCCAAACAACUACGAGUAGUAACUUAAAACUUAAAAGACUUGACGGUGCUUCACCACAACCUAGAGGAGCCUGUCUAGUAACCGAUGACCCACGAUUAACCCCACCCCUUCUCGCCAACAGUCUAUAUACCGCCGUCGUAAGCUUACCCUGUAAAAGAACCAAAGUAAGCUAAAUAGUACACCACUAAAACGACAGGUCGAGGUGUAACCUAUGAAGGGGGAAUGAUGGGCUACACUCUCUUAACUGAGAACACGAAUUACAUUACGAACCUAAUGUAUGAAGGCGGAUUUAGCAGUAAGAUGGGGAUAAAACACCUAACUGAACAUAACGCAAUGAAGCGCGUACACACCGCCCGUCAUCCCUGCCCACAC